Molecule: long non-coding RNA, 2510 nt
Filed under: Triticum aestivum (bread wheat)
Lineage: Eukaryota; Viridiplantae; Streptophyta; Magnoliopsida; Poales; Poaceae
Description: long non-coding RNA (TAES_LNC006763)
Source: RNAcentral
CAAUAUAAUAAGCAGGAAUCCCCAUAAUAUAUUAAACAUGAUGUAUUGCGUUACAAAGAACACGAUACAAACAUUACAUAUCUGAAACCAUCUAGUACUAGCCUAAUUCUUGAUCAUUCAGUCAGCUUACUGUUUGAAACAUUACACUUCAAAAUGACAUUCUAAUUAUCUAGUAAAAUUGCCAUUCUUGACCUUGCAAUCAACGUCCGUGCAUCUUGAAUAUAUCUUGGCAGCCUAGAACAACAAAGGAAUGAGAUUAGUAACCUAUGAUAGAGAAUAUCAACAAAGCAGAAAGUUAUGGAGGAGCCAAAGAAAAGGAGAGUACUAGCCUACAUCUGACAAUCACUUUUUAUCCUUGUUUUCUUAUGAAAAAAAUGCUAUAUGUCGAUUGAGUAAAAUAAACCUCAAAAUCAUACUAAGCAAGAAACGAGGUACCCCCUUGGGAAAAAAUCAUGUAAUGAAAUACCACACAUCUUUCGUUUGCUAAGAAAGAUCUGAGUUCUCCACAAAAUAAAAGUAGACGCAAGAUUUCAACAAAUCAAAAAUACUGUAGUUAAAAGAAAAUAAUUCGCACCAGGCUAAAUUAGGUAUUGUGAUACAUGCUCACAAAUAUGACUUACCAAGACACUGAUUUACAUAUAGAUGUGGGGCUAAUUAAUAAUGUGAAUACAAAACCUUCUCAACAGGAGUUUAUUAAUAAAAAUGCAGAUGCAACCUAUAUGUGUGUACUAUUUUAUUUUUUGCAUCUGGCAUCAACUUACUAUGUGAAUCAUCAUAAUAAACACCAGCAGAAGGGACAUCACCAUGCUAGGAAGUACAAACACAGAGACUUGAAGUCUUGAACAUUUCUGUAAACUGACAACAUUCUAUUCUCUCAGUUGCGACUUGCACAAGUUCUGAAUAUCCACCGCUCGUUCAGAUCAGAAACUGCAUAGUAAAACACCGAGAUCUUUGAAAAAUUGGAUGGGGCUAUCAUUUUGAACCAUCAGCAUGUAUUUACUAUAGUAAUGAUUAUCCAAACAUUAUAUAUGUUAACAAUGAUAUGAAUUCUGGAGCCAACUAAAUGACAAUAGGUAACCAAUAAUAUUGAUUAUACAUAGUUGAAUAUUUCAAUUUCCCAGAGGCUUCAAAUUCUUUUUAGGGCCUCUUAUGUAUGUGUUGACUUUUAUAUCUCCUAAUUGCAGUAUACACAAGUCCAAAAGAUAUACCUAUUAAGAUAAAGAACAAACAAACACGUGUUGGCUGAAGCACAUAGUCAACUUCAGAACCUGCGAGGGAAGAUGAAACUAAAGAUUAUACAAUAAAAAGAAAUGUUAGGACAAAGAGAUGCACAUGGGCUUAUUCCUAUAGUACUACAAAAGCGUGUAACAGAAAUCAAUAAGGAUUGAUAACGCUAAUGAGAUUUUUUUGUCUCUUGAAAAUCAUGAUGUUAUAGAUAAUAGUACUCGCCUAUUAACUGAUACUUGAAGAAAUGUUCUUUGAUGACAUGGUCAUAUGCUAUUAACUAGGAUAUUUGGAGAUACUGUUGACUUAUUUAACUAAUCUACCAUGAUCCUCCUCACAAAAAUACUGGACAAUUAUCCAUGCACGUAGAAUCAAGAAAAUUAAAGCCUAAUGCAUCACAAGAAAGAACUAUUAAUGAAGAGGUAAAAAAAUAUUCCUGAAUGAACAGGUACAGAGUACAGACAAAUGGUGAAUCGCUCAACCAUAGAAGAAAAAAGUCCACCUAUGAACAUCUAAAACUGGGGUGACAAUAUGCUUCUAGAUGUUCCAUUUAUGACUUACUGCAAAUUGUUGUAAUUGAAUGCUAUUAGAGAAGGUCUCUGGUGCAACAUAAAGGUAUCAGAUAUAGUAAUAGCACAGGGGAUCUUACAGGUGGGAAUUUUGAGCCUGUAACCAUAGAAGCGUUGUUGUCUCUGCUGCCUGCAGAUAAAACCCAUUGGAAUGUGAACUUCCUCCAUGAAACUUACUGUGUUAUAUAAUCUUUAGGAAACAGGGUAAAUUUGUCAAAUAUAUGCUGAACAAAUCUAUAAGAAAAAUUAAAGAAGUCCUCGAUUUGUUUGAUCCGGGAUAGUUCCCAUUAUCUCAUAAUUGUACAAACAAUAUUCGAAGGAGGAGGGCCUUACUGAACCGUCUGGCGUCAGUCGAGGUAGUCGAGGACUCGAUGUGGAACAACAUGGUAUAGCCCGAGCCGGCAGCCGCGCGCGCGGAUACGCGGGGUAGUGGGCAGACAAACGAGAGGAGACAUGGGAGACGCGCUAGCCACCGUGGCGGCUAGGGUUCCUGCGGGGGCGCGUACAGGGGCGUGGAUGGUGUCGCCGCGGCAAUGGAUCGGACGAGAGCAGUGAGGGGUUCCUGAGACCAUGAGCGGGUGCGCAGGGGAGCGGAGGACGCCGCGGCGACUGGGGAUCGGAGGAAAGUAGUAAAGAGGAGCCGGGAGGUUGGGCGGCGGCGCGGAGGAACUCAUCGCGAGCCCGCGACAAAGGAACAGAGGAAAACAGUAAGGGGGA